RNAcentral lists this ribosomal RNA (301 nucleotides) under uncultured bacterium. Its description in RNAcentral is "partial 16S ribosomal RNA". It matches the Rfam family "Bacterial small subunit ribosomal RNA", at positions 509 to 807 of the family's 1533-position model. The record is from RNAcentral.
CAGCAGCCACGGUAAUACAGAGGGUGCGAGCGUUAAUCGGAUUUACUGGGCGUAAAGCGUGCGUAGGCGGCUUCUUAAGUCGGAUGUGAAAUCCCUGAGCUUAACUUAGGAAUUGCAUUCGAUACUGGUUAGCUAGAGUGUGGGAGAGGAUGGUAGAAUUCCAGGUGUAGCGGUGAAAUGCGUAGAGAUCUGGAGGAAUACCGAUGGCGAAGGCAGCCAUCUGGCCUAACACUGACGCUGAGGUACGAAAGCAUGGGGAGCAAACAGGAUUAGAUACCCCUGUAGUCCCUGUCUCUUAUAC